CGCUCUUUGAACUGUUAUGUUACGUGACCAUUAGAUUAUAUAAAGAGUCGGACCUGCCCAGUGACUAUUGUUAAACGGCCGCGGUACUCUGACCGUGCAAAGGUAGCAUAAUCAUUUGCCUUUUAAUUGGAGGCUUGUAUGAAUGGUUUGACGAGAACCAAGCUGUCUCUUUUUAAAUAUAUAAAAAUUAAUUUUUAGGUGAAGAGGCCUAUAUUUAACUAAGGGACAAGAAGACCCCGUUGAGCUUUAGUGAUUUAAUAAAGUAUAUAUUAUUUAGAUAAAUGUAUUCUAGAAGUUAUAUUGUUAUAUAGAUGUUAUUUAUUAAAAAUCUUUAGUUGGGGCGACUGAGGAGCAUAAGAAGCUUCCUUUAAUUAUACAAAUUUAUGGAAAUCAAGCUAAAUUAAAUAGAUCCAGUAUUUACUGAUUAAAGGAAAAAGUUACCACGGGGAUAACAGCGUAAUCUUUCUAGAGAGUUCUUAUCGAAGGAAGGGUUUGCGACCUCGAUGUUGGACUAAGAUAUCCUAGAGGUGUAGAAGCUUCUAAUGGUUAGUCUGUUCGACUAUUAAAAUCUU
Molecule: ribosomal RNA, 572 nt
Filed under: Modelia granosa
Lineage: Eukaryota; Metazoa; Mollusca; Gastropoda; Trochida; Turbinidae
Description: partial 16S ribosomal RNA
Rfam family: Bacterial large subunit ribosomal RNA
Source: RNAcentral